This 468-nucleotide ribosomal RNA is filed under the name uncultured bacterium. Its description in RNAcentral is "partial 16S ribosomal RNA". It matches the Rfam family "Bacterial small subunit ribosomal RNA", at positions 28 to 507 of the family's 1533-position model. The record is from RNAcentral.
GACGAACGCUGGCGGCGUGCUUAACACAUGCAAGUCGAACGGAAAGGCCCUGCUUUUGUGGGGUGCUCGAGUGGCGCACGGGUGAGUAACACGUGAGUAACCUGCCCUUGACUUUGGGAUAACUUCAGGAAACUGGGGCUAAUACCGGAUAGGAGCUCCUGCUGCAUAGUGGGGGAUGGAGAGAUUCGGCGGUGGGGGAUGGACUCGCGGCUUAUCAGCUUGUUGGGGGGGUAGUGGCGUACCAAGGUUUUGACGGGUAGCCGGCCUGAGAGGGGGGCCGGCGACAUGAGGACUGCGAUACGGCCCAGACUCCUAUCGGCGGCAACAGUGGGGAGUAUUACACAGUGGGAGGAAGCCUGAUACAGCAACGCUGCGUGCGGGAAGCGGUGCUUCGAGUUGUAAACCGCUUUCGCCUUUGCCGAAGCGUGAGUGACGGUAAUGGGUAAAGAAGCACCGGCUAACUACGUG